Molecule: ribosomal RNA, 497 nt
Filed under: uncultured bacterium
Lineage: Bacteria
Description: partial 16S ribosomal RNA
Rfam family: Bacterial small subunit ribosomal RNA
Source: RNAcentral
GAUGAACGCUGGCGGCGUGCCUAAUACAUGCAAGUCGAGCGAACAGACGAGGAGCUUGCUCCUCUGACGUUAGCGGCGGACGGGUGAGUAACACGUGGAUAACCUACCUAUAAGACUGGGAUAACUUCGGGAAACCGGAGCUAAUACCGGAUAAUAUAUUGAACCGCAUUGUUCAAUAGUGAAAGACGGUUUUGCUGUCACUUAUAGAUGGAUCCGCGCCGCAUUAGCUAGUUGGUAAGGUAACGGCUUACCAAGGCAACGAUGCGUAGCCGACCUGAGAGGGUGAUCGGCCACAAUGGAAAUGAGACACGGUCCAGACUCCUAAGGGAGGAAGCAGUAGGGAAUCUACCGCAAUGGGCGAAAGACUGACGGAGCAACGACGCGUGAGUGAUGAAGGUCUUCGGAUCGUAAAACUCUGUUAUUAGGGAAGAACAAAUGUGUAAGUAACUAUGCACGUCUUGACGGUACCUAAUCAGAAAACCACGGCUAACUACGUG